Molecule: ribosomal RNA, 533 nt
Filed under: Streptococcus iniae
Lineage: Bacteria; Bacillati; Bacillota; Bacilli; Lactobacillales; Streptococcaceae
Description: bacterial SSU rRNA
Rfam family: Bacterial small subunit ribosomal RNA
Source: RNAcentral
AGAGUUUGAUCCUGGCUCAGGACGAACGCUGGCGGCGUGCCUAAUACAUGCAAGUAGAACGCUGAGGAUUGGUGCUUGCACUAAUCCAAAGAGUUGCGAACGGGUGAGUAACGCGUAGGUAACCUACCUCAUAGCGGGGGAUAACUAUUGGAAACGAUAGCUAAUACCGCAUGAUACUAGAGUACACAUGUACUUAAGUUAAAAGGAGCAAAAGCUUCACUAUGAGAUGGACCUGCGUUGUAUUAGCUAGUUGGUGAGGUAACGGCUCACCAAGGCGACGAUACAUAGCCGACCUGAGAGGGUGAUCGGCCACACUGGGACUGAGACACGGCCCAGACUCCUACGGGAGGCAGCAGUAGGGAAUCUUCGGCAAUGGACGGAAGUCUGACCGAGCAACGCCGCGUGAGUGAAGAAGGUUUUCGGAUCGUAAAGCUCUGUUGUUAGAGAAGAACGGUAAUGGGAGUGGAAAAUCCAUUACGUGACGGUAACUAACCAGAAAGGGACGGCUAACUACGUGCCAGCAGCCGCGGUAA